GUUGGUGAGGUAACGGCUCACCAAGGCGACGAUCCCUAGCUGGUCUGAGAGGAUGACCAGCCACACUGGAACUGAGACACGGUCCAGACUCCUACGGGAGGCAGCAGUGGGGAAUAUUGCACAAUGGGCGCAAGCCUGAUGCAGCCAUGCCGCGUGUAUGAAGAAGGCCUUCGGGUUGUAAAGUACUUUCAGCGGGGAGGAAGGUGUUGUGGUUAAUAACCGCAGCAAUUGACGUUACCCGCAGAAGAAGCACCGGCUAACUCCGUGCCAGCAGCCGCGGUAAUACGGAGGGUGCAAGCGUUAAUCGGAAUUACUGGGCGUAAAGCGCACGCAGGCGGUCUGUCAAGUCGGAUGUGAAAUCCCCGGGCUCAACCUGGGAACUGCAUUCGAAACUGGCAGGCUUGAGUCUUGUAGAGGGGGGUAGAAUUCCAGGUGUAGCGGUGAAAUGCGUAGAGAUCUGGAGGAAUACCGGUGGCGAAGGCGGCCCCCUGGACAAAGACUGACGCUCAGGUGCGAAAGCGUGGGGAGCAAACAGGAUUAGAUACCCUGGUAGUCCACGCCGUAAACGAUGUCUACUUGGAGGUUGUGCCCUUGAGGCGUGGCUUCCGGAGCUAACGCGUUAAGUAGACCGCCUGGGGAGUACGGCCGCAAGGUUAAAACUCAAAUGAAUUGACGGGGGCCCGCACAAGCGGUGGAGCAUGUGGUUUAAUUCGAUGCAACGCGAAGAACCUUACCUGGUCUUGACAUCCACAGAACUUUCCAGAGAUGGAUUGGUGCCUUCGGGAACUGUGAGACAGGUGCUGCAUGGCUGUCGUCAGCUCGUGUUGUGAAAUGUUGGGUUAAGUCCCGCAACGAGCGCAACCCUUAUCCUUUGUUGCCAGCGGUCCGGCCGGGAACUCAAAGGAGACUGCCAGUGAUAAACUGGAGGAAGGUGGGGAUGACGUCAAGUCAUCAUGGCCCUUACGACCAGGGCUACACACGUGCUACAAUGGCGCAUACAAAGAGAAGCGACCUCGCGAGAGCAAGCGGACCUCAUAAAGUGCGUCGUAGUCCGGAUUGGAGUCUGCAACUCGACUCCAUGAAGUCGGAAUCGCUAGUAAUCGUGGAUCAGAAUGCCACGGUGAAUACGUUCCCGGGCCUUGUACACACCGCCCGUCACACCAUGGGAGUGGGUUGCAAAAGAAGUAGGUAGCUUAACCUUCGGGAGGGCGCUUACCACUUUGUGAUUCAUGACUGGGGUGAAGUCGUAACAAGGUAACCGUAGGGGAACCUGCGGUUGGAUCACCUCCUUACCUUAAAGAA
RNAcentral lists this ribosomal RNA (1302 nucleotides) under Salmonella enterica subsp. enterica serovar Muenchen. Its description in RNAcentral is "bacterial SSU rRNA". It matches the Rfam family "Bacterial small subunit ribosomal RNA", at positions 248 to 1533 of the family's 1533-position model. Lineage: Bacteria; Pseudomonadati; Pseudomonadota; Gammaproteobacteria; Enterobacterales; Enterobacteriaceae. The record is from RNAcentral.